UUCAUUGACAAUACAUUGUCUAAAAUGUUUCCUCUACAUAUUUUGAGAAUCACAUUAGUCAGUGUUAUAAUUUUUGCUUCAACAAUCAAACAUAAUUUAGAAAACUCAAGAAGAGAAGUCUGUUGUACUUAUCUACGUUUUUACUCUUUCUGUUGUUCCUUUUCUCUUCCUGAUGUUUCAUGAUUGCCUCUAAUUGUUUCUGUUUAAAGAGUUCCUUUAGACAUGCUUUUAGGGUUGGUCUGCUGGUGACAGAUUGUUUUAGUUUUUCUUAAUAUGAGAAUGUUUUGGCCGGGCGCGGUGGCUCAAGCCUGUAAUCCCAGC
This is a long non-coding RNA of Sapajus apella (tufted capuchin), 321 nucleotides long. RefSeq lists it as uncharacterized. The transcript is spliced from 3 exons. The record is from RefSeq and is a predicted model, not a curated record. NCBI's taxonomy places the organism in Eukaryota, Metazoa, Chordata, Mammalia, Primates, Cebidae.